RNAcentral lists this ribosomal RNA (868 nucleotides) under uncultured bacterium. Its description in RNAcentral is "bacterial SSU rRNA". It matches the Rfam family "Bacterial small subunit ribosomal RNA", at positions 60 to 919 of the family's 1533-position model. The record is from RNAcentral.
AGUCGAGCGGAGAUGAGGUGCUUGCACCUUAUCUUAGCGGCGGACGGGUGAGUAAUGCUUAGGAAUCUGCCUAUUAGUGGGGGACAACAUUCCGAAAGGAAUGCUAAUACCGCAUACGUCCUACGGGAGAAAGCAGGGGAUCUUCGGACCUUGCGCUAAUAGAUGAGCCUAAGUCGGAUUAGCUAGUUGGUGGGGUAAAGGCCUACCAAGGCGACGAUCUGUAGCGGGUCUGAGAGGAUGAUCCGCCACACUGGGACUGAGACACGGCCCAGACUCCUACGGGGGGCAGCAGUGGGGAAUAUUGGACAAUGGGGGGAACCCUGAUCCAGCCAUGCCGCGUGUGUGAAGAAGGCCUUAUGGUUGUAAAGCACUUUAAGCGAGGAGGAGGCUACUGAGACUAAUACUCUUGGAUAGUGGACGUUACUCGCAGAAUAAGCACCGGCUAACUCUGUGCCAGCAGCCGCGGUAAUACAGAGGGUGCGAGCGUUAAUCGGAUUUACUGGGCGUAAAGCGUGCGUAGGCGGCUUUUUAAGUCGGAUGUGAAAUCCCCGAGCUUAACUUGGGAAUUGCAUUCGAUACUGGGAAGCUAGAGUAUGGGAGAGGAUGGUAGAAUUCCAGGUGUAGCGGUGAAAUGCGUAGAGAUCUGGAGGAAUACCGAUGGCGAAGGCAGCCAUCUGGCCUAAUACUGACGCUGAGGUACGAAAGCAUGGGGAGCAAACAGGAUUAGAUACCCUGGUAGUCCAUGCCGUGAAAGGGUGUCUACUAGCCGUUGGGGGCCUUUGAGGCUUUAGUGGCGCAGCUAACGCGAUAAGUAGACCGCCUGGGGAGUACGGGUCGCAAGACUAAAACUCGAAUGAAUUGACGGGGG